UGUACGGAGAGUCUACAAAAGCUGGUUUUUGGACUUAAAGCAAGCCUCCACGAUAACUCGAUUCCACUUUUCGUGACAGUCGAUACUCGCCUUACCCCGGUCCAACUUUCGACAUCUCGGUCCAAAAUUUGACGGUUAAUCGGAAUAUCUCAAGUGAUAAAUCGCGUAGAAUAAUUAAAUUUCGUUCCCAAAAUUCUGACCGAGUAAGAUCACUCUGUAGCCAGACGAGAUGUCCAACCGAAAAAGUUCCAAAGGAAGUGGGUCCAGUCGAAAAAGUUCCGCGUCUCCGUCUCGAGCUCCAUCUCGAUCUCCGACGCAGCCCUCGAAGACGCCAGCGGGUCAAAAUCGAGGCAGCACAAAUGUAGUGAUCGUACAGCCCCGUCAAGGUCCUGGGAUGUUUGGAACAGUCGUGGGAAGCGCAGUGGGUGCUGCUGCGGGGACUGUUAUUGGAGACAAAAUAACUGGCAGAUCGGAGGAUACAGCACCUGCCCAGGAUUCAAUAACUCCAGAAGGAAUCGGACCCUGUCAACCUCAACAACAACAGUUCCUGAACUGUGCACAGAACCAAUCCGAUGUACAAGUUUGCGAACAGCUCAGAAAGGAGCUUUUAGAUUGCAAACGGAAAUAUAAUGCAUGAUGAUUGCGACAACACCCAGCCUAUCGUAGAAGCCUUCGCCUAGAAGUAGUAUCAUAGAACAUUUCGCAAAAGCCUAUUCAGUACGAGAGCUCGUCCCAAAGCUCAGCAGCCACCGACCAAGACUGCAGCACAGUCACUGCAUCCAGCCUCUGGAACACAAAAGGA
Molecule: unclassified non-coding RNA, 802 nt
Filed under: Orussus abietinus
Lineage: Eukaryota; Metazoa; Arthropoda; Insecta; Hymenoptera; Orussidae
Description: coiled-coil-helix-coiled-coil-helix domain- containing protein 2-like, transcript variant X2
Source: RNAcentral